RNAcentral lists this ribosomal RNA (430 nucleotides) under uncultured Actinomycetes bacterium. Its description in RNAcentral is "bacterial SSU rRNA". It matches the Rfam family "Bacterial small subunit ribosomal RNA", at positions 1072 to 1499 of the family's 1533-position model. Lineage: Bacteria; Bacillati; Actinomycetota; Actinomycetes. The record is from RNAcentral.
AUGUUGGGUUAAGUCCCGCAACGAGCGCAACCCUCGUCCCAUGUUGCCAGCGGAUAAUGCCGGGGACUCAUAGGAGACUGCCGGGGUCAACUCGGAGGAAGGUGGGGAUGACGUCAAGUCAUCAUGCCCCUUAAGUCCAGGGCUUCACGCAUGCUACAAUGGCUGGUACAAAGGGCUGCAAAACCGCAAGGUCGAGCGAAUCCCAAAAAGCCAGUCUCAGUUCGGAUUGGGGUCUGCAACUCGACCCCAUGAAGUCGGAGUCGCUAGUAAUCGCAGAUCAGCAAUGCUGCGGUGAAUACGUUCCCGGGCCUUGUACACACCGCCCGUCAAGUCAUGAAAGUCGGUAACACCCGAAGCCGGUGGCCCAACCCUUGUGGAGGGAGCCGUCGAAGGUGGGACUGGCGAUUAGGACUAAGUCGUAACAAGGUAA